AUACGGAGGAUGCGAGCGUUAUCCGGAUUUAUUGGGUUUAAAGGGAGCGUAGGUGGGAUAUUAAGUCAGCUGUGAAAGUUUGGGGCUCAACCUUAAAAUUGCAGUUGAUACUGGUUUCCUUGAGUACGGUACAGGUGGGCGGAAUUCGUGGUGUAGUGGUGAAAUGCUUAGAUAUCACGAAGAACUCCGAUCGCGAAGGCAGCUCACCGGGCCGGAACUGACACUGAUGCUCGAAAGUGCGGGUAUCAAACAGGAUUAGAUACCCUGGUAGUCCGCACAGUAAACGAUGAGUACUCGCUGUUUGCGAUACACGGUAAGCGGCCAAGCGAAAGCGUUAAGUAUUCCACCUGGGGAGUACGCCGGCAACGGUGAAACUCAAAUGAAUUGACGGGG
RNAcentral lists this ribosomal RNA (393 nucleotides) under uncultured bacterium. RNAcentral's name for it is "partial 16S ribosomal RNA". It matches the Rfam family "Bacterial small subunit ribosomal RNA", at positions 523 to 918 of the family's 1533-position model. The record is from RNAcentral.